AUUUUUUUGAAUCGAUUUUGUGAGAGGCGAUUUAUCGAUUCAAUCGAUUUUCUAUUUAAAAAAAUCGUAAAAAUCGUUCAGACUUUCGCUCUGUCUAGAUUACUCUUUUAACGUCACGUCAAACCUACUUACGUUCAAACGCGGGUCCAGAAGGAAGUUAUUUAGCGUUUGGCACAAGAACAGCCUGCAGAAAGAGCCAUGCGGAGAGCACAGGAUGUGGCCAGGCGUAGCAGACAACUGCUCCGGCCACCAGGGCUAGAAUUUUUAAAUUUAUUCAAUGGAAAUCCUGCACAAGAACAGCCUGCAGAAAGAGCCAUGCGGAGAGCACAGGAUGUGGCCAGGCGUAGAAGACAACUGCUCCGGCCACCAGGGCUAGAAUUUUUAAAUUUAUUCAAUGGAAAUCCUGCCCUUGGAGUUGUCCGCAACUUUAAUCCUGGCCAUCCAAUCAACCGGCGUUCGGGCUGAUUUUAAUUUUUUUUUCUGACUUAUAAAUAAAAUAAAAAAUUUCUUCCAAAAAUCAA
Bemisia tabaci is the source of this 521-nucleotide non-coding RNA. Lineage: Eukaryota; Metazoa; Arthropoda; Insecta; Hemiptera; Aleyrodidae. The record is from RefSeq and is a predicted model, not a curated record.